CCAAAGGAUAGGUAUCGCUAUUC
Molecule: ribosomal RNA, 23 nt
Filed under: Acinetobacter baumannii 25493_4
Lineage: Bacteria; Pseudomonadati; Pseudomonadota; Gammaproteobacteria; Moraxellales; Moraxellaceae
Source: RNAcentral